CAAGGGGAAUCCGACUGU
This 18-nucleotide small nuclear RNA is filed under the name Arabidopsis thaliana (thale cress). RNAcentral's name for it is "snRNA_05268". Lineage: Eukaryota; Viridiplantae; Streptophyta; Magnoliopsida; Brassicales; Brassicaceae. The record is from RNAcentral.